UACGUAGGGUGCGAGCGUUAAUCGGAAUUACUGGGCGUAAAGCGUGCGCAGGCGGUUCGUUGUGUCGGUGGUGAAAGCCCCGGGCUCAACCUGGGAAUGGCCAUGGAAACUGGCGAACUGGAGUGUGGCAGAGGGGGGUGGAAUUCCGCGUGUAGCAGUGAAAUGCGUAGAUAUGUGGAGGAACACCAAUGGCGAAGGCAGCCCCCUGGGUCAAAACUGACGCUCAUGCACGAAAGCGUGGGGAGCAAACAGG
RNAcentral lists this ribosomal RNA (253 nucleotides) under uncultured bacterium. Its description in RNAcentral is "partial 16S ribosomal RNA". It matches the Rfam family "Bacterial small subunit ribosomal RNA", at positions 524 to 776 of the family's 1533-position model. The record is from RNAcentral.